RNAcentral lists this microRNA precursor (57 nucleotides) under Paramuricea clavata. The record is from RNAcentral. Lineage: Eukaryota; Metazoa; Cnidaria; Anthozoa; Malacalcyonacea; Plexauridae.
UGGGACGGGAUUCCCGUCCCGCGGGACGGGAAUCCGUGGGACGGGAAUCCCGUCCCG